Molecule: ribosomal RNA, 497 nt
Filed under: uncultured bacterium
Lineage: Bacteria
Description: partial 16S ribosomal RNA
Rfam family: Bacterial small subunit ribosomal RNA
Source: RNAcentral
GAUGAACGCUGGCGGCGUGCUUAAUACAUGCAAGUCGAGCGAACAGACGAGGAUCUUGCUCCUCUGACGUUAGCGGCGGACGGGUGAGUAACACGUGGAUAACCUACCUAUAAGACUGGGAUAACUUCGGGAAACCGGAGCUAAUACCGGAUAAUAUAUUGAACCGCAUGGUUCAAUAGUGAAAGACGGUUUUGCUGUCAUUUAUAGAUGGAUCCGCGCCGCAUUAGCUAGUUGGUAAGGUAACGGCUUACCAAGGCCACGAUGCGUAGCCGACCUGAGAGGGUGAUCGGCCACACUGGAGCUGAGACACGGUCCAGACUCCUACGGGAGGCAGCAGUAGGGAAUCGUGCGCAAUGGGCGGAAGCCUGACGGAGCAACGCCGCGUGAGUGAUGAAGGUCUUCGGAUCGUAAAACUCUGUUAUUAGGGAAGAACAAAUGUGUAAGUAGCGAUGCACGUCUUGACGGUACCUGAACAGAAAGCCACGGCUAACUACGUG